GCAGUAGCCACGGGAAUACAGAGGGUGCGAGCGUUAAUCGGAUUUACUGGGCGUAAAGCGUGCGUAGGCGGCUUCUUAAGUCGGAUGUGAAAUCCCUGAGCUUAACUUAGGAAUUGCAUUCGAUACUGGGAAGCUAGAGUAUGGGAGAGGAUGGUAGAAUUCCAGGUGUAGCGGUGAAAUGCGUAGAGAUCUGGAGGAAUACCGGUGGCGAAGGCGGCCCCCUGGACAAAGACUGACGCUCAGGUGCGAAAGCGUGGGGAGCAAACAGGAUUAGAUACCCCGGUAGUCCCUGUCUCUUAUAC
Molecule: ribosomal RNA, 302 nt
Filed under: uncultured bacterium
Lineage: Bacteria
Description: partial 16S ribosomal RNA
Rfam family: Bacterial small subunit ribosomal RNA
Source: RNAcentral